GGGGGUAUGGCGGAAUGGUAGACGCUACGGACUUAAAAUCCGUUGAUCGUAAGAUCGUAAGGGUUCAAGUCCCUUUACCCCCA
Oscillatoriales cyanobacterium CG2_30_44_21 is the source of this 83-nucleotide non-coding RNA. The record is from Rfam. NCBI's taxonomy places the organism in Bacteria, Bacillati, Cyanobacteriota, Cyanophyceae, Oscillatoriales.